RNAcentral lists this ribosomal RNA (460 nucleotides) under uncultured bacterium. RNAcentral describes it as "partial 16S ribosomal RNA". It matches the Rfam family "Bacterial small subunit ribosomal RNA", at positions 338 to 795 of the family's 1533-position model. The record is from RNAcentral.
CCUACGGGAGGCUGCAGUGAGGAAUAUUGGUCAAUGGGCGCGAGCCUGAACCAGCCAAGUCGCGUGAAGGAAGACUGCCCUACGGGUUGUAAACGUCUUUUAUCAGGGAAUAAAGUGAGGCACGUGUGCCUUUUUGUAUGUACUUUAUGAAUAAGGAUCGGCUAACUCCGUGCCAGCAGCCGCGGUAAUACGGAGGAUCCGAGCGUUAUCCGGAUUUAUUGGGUUUAAAGGGAGCGUAGAUGGGUUGUUAAGUCAGUUGUGAAAGUGUGCGGCUCAACCGUAAAAUUGCAAUUGAUACUGGCUGUCUUGAGUACAGGAGAGGUAGGCGGAAUGCGUGGUGUAGCGGUGAAAUGCUUAGAUAUCACGAAGAACUCCGAUUGCGAAGGCAGCCUACCAAACCGCCACUGACAUUGAUGCUCGAAAGUGUGGGUAUCAAACAGGAUUAGAUACCCGAGUAGUC